GGGCCCGUGGCGCAGCUGGUAGCGCACCUGCAUGGCAUGCAGGGGGCAGGUCGCAGACGUAGCGGGCUCGCCA
Molecule: transfer RNA, 73 nt
Filed under: Microbacterium sp. zg-YB36
Lineage: Bacteria; Bacillati; Actinomycetota; Actinomycetes; Micrococcales; Microbacteriaceae
Description: tRNA-Ala
Rfam family: tRNA
About the family: Transfer RNA (tRNA) molecules are approximately 80 nucleotides in length.
Source: RNAcentral